CGGGGAGGGGAGAAGCGGGGAGGCGGGGGCCGCCAUCGCGCCGCUGAGGGGAGCGAGCGCCGCCGUCGGGGGGUCGCUGCCGCUCGCCCCGCUGAGGCGCUGGGGCGGAGGCUCCCGCAGGACCCCGCCGUUGUCUCUUCCCUUCCUUCCCCGGCCGGGCGGACCCCUCGGGCGUCGAGCAAUUAUUGUCUUGGUUAUGAGCCAGUGCUUCGUGUUUCAGAAUUCUUCAUUUUGAAUUUUUAAUAAAAUUGAAGAUGUUCAGUACAGAUCCCCUAACAAACCUGAAUAAAAAUAGCAGAAAUUGUCCUGCUGGUAACCUUUAUCCCGUUGAACUGGAAACCUCCAGUGUAUUUUGGUUGCUGUACUGAAGAAUGUCCUUGCUCUCACCAGGAGAUGAAGACGAACCGGAGCGUUUCGAUGGUCUUUCUCUCUUAUACUGGACAAUUAUGGGCCCUCAUGGAAUCAAUCGAGCUGUUCACCGCAUUUCUUUUUCUGAUUGUCAGAAUGGAUUAGGAGUUAAAAUUAUUGGAGGUUACCGGGCACAAACUGCAGAAGAUUAUGGGAUUUUCAUAAAGAGAAUUCUACCUGGAGGUGUUGCUGCUGUAGAUAGCCGUUUGCUCACGGGAGACCUCAUUUUGGAUGUCAAUGGAGAAAACUUAAUUGGAGUAACCAAUGAAAGGGCCGUUGACAUCUUGCGAACAGCUUCAGCAUCUAAUCACAUGUCUCUGCUAGUUGCCAGAGAUGAAGAAGCAAAGAAAGAGUUUCUUGACCUGAUGGAUAAGUAUGGCUCUCACAGUGACACCAACUCUGCAAGAAGUUCUCCAACACAGCUAUUAGCUGGAAAACCUGUAGACAGCCUUUCGUCUGGGGCAUCCUCAAGGUCACAGAGUCCUCAAUUGCAUCCAAAGGAUAUUAUUACCACCAUUAGCAGAAAUAAUUCUGUCCCUGCGCCAUCACCAAAGCUUCCAAAGGAUAGUGCAUUUCAGAUUAUCUCUGUUUGCAAGGGAACAAGCCUAGGUUUGAAUAUUGUUGGAGGAAUUGACAGAAAUGAAGGGCCUUUGGUAUACGUUCAAGAAAUUAUUCCUGGUGGUGACUGUCAUAAGGAUGGACGAUUGCAGCCUGGAGAUCAACUAGUAUCCAUAAACAAAGAGUCAAUGAUUGGCAUCUCCUAUGAAGAAGCAAAAAGUAUAAUCAACAGAGCAAAGAUGAGGUUUGAAAGUUUUUGGGAGAUAGCUUUUAUAAGACAAAAAAAUAUUCCCAGUUAUUCAGAGAAUCUGCCACGUCCUUCCAGUCUCUUAACAUCUUCUGGAACAUAUGGAGGACAACAAGCUGCAGUCCUUAGUCCUCUAGCGUCUCCUGAUGGGAAGCUUGUUUCAACAGUCACUCCUAAUGCUGUGACUGGCAUCCAUUUGAAGAACAGCUAUAUAACAGAUUUUUCAAAGGAAGCAUUACAACAGAAUCAUUAUUUCAUUUAUUUUUUUUUUUUUCUUCUAGUCAUUGCACCCAGCCAGAAUGACAAUUAUGAGCUGCAAGGAAGGAAGACUUUCUUGAACUCUACUAUUCGUCUCAAAGCAGAAAAGCUGGAGAGGGCAUUGAAUUAUCUGGGGAUUCAGCCCACAGUUGAACAGCAGCAAACCCUAAGGCAGCAACUUCAGAAAGAUUCUAAAGGAACAGUGUCUUUCGGAGGUAAUCAUUUGUUAAUUACCCAGAAAAAUAAUGAAAUAGCCUUGAGAAGUAGGAUUCAUCUUGCUGAAGCUGCACAAAGACAGGCUCGUGGUAUGGAGAUGGACUAUGAAGAAGUAAUUCGCCUGUUAGAAGCUGAAAUCGUAGAGCUGAAGGCUCAGCUCACUGAUCAUUCUGGCCAAAAUAAAGAUAACAUCCAAGACUUGAGAAAGAGAGUUACAGUACUUGACUGCCAGCUGCGGAAAUCAGAAUCGGCUAGGAAGACCUUUGAGGUGGCUACUGAAAAACUACUACAAUUUAUAGAGGUAACUUUUCUUACAAACAAACACUUUUUUUUUCCUAUUAGUGACAGAAGAAUAACCUUAUCUUCUAAAGCACUUCGGUUGGGAAGGAUUGGACCAACUGUCACCACAGCUCUUGCAGCAGAAGCCAGAGACCUUGCCAAGUCUGUCCGUGCCAUUUUGGAAGUAGACUGUCUACCAUAUGGAUGGGAAGAAGCUUAUACAGCAGAUGGAAUCAAAUACUUCAUCAACCAUGUGACCCAGACAACAUCAUGGAUCCAUCCUGUAACCAGUGCACUAAGCUUGCGUUGCUCUGAGGAUGAUGACGAUGGAAUAAGAGAGUCUCCUGUGUCCAAGAGCUGAGAACGUUCUGCUGACAAAAAGUAGUUUGUCUAAUUUCAGUACAUUAGUGAGAAGAUGCACACUUUUUAAUCUAAUUACCUUCUACUCUGAUGUAAUAGUACCCCAUGACACUUCUCCCCUUGAAGUCAGAGGGAGCACUGCUGUUUGUUUAGGUGGGUUUGUUCUUGGGUGCCUCAGAAGCUGCAGAAGUCUCUGUGCAGUCCUUAACCAGCCCCAGUUCAGUGUGCAGGGAUCAGGCUUACACUUGGGAGCUGAUGCAGUCUUUUCAUGACUUCUGUAUUGGCAUAACUCCAUUGACCUGAGAUCAAAUUUUCACAGUUUUGACCAGCAUGAGAGUUAGAUUGGGCCAUUGGAUGUACUUCACCUGGUAAAUUCCAGCUGAUGCUUUGCUGAAAGGUGUGAGGUGAGCUUUUUCUUUUUUUAACCAAUAGUAGUGAGUGUAAUGUAGAUAGAUGCCUUUUGUGCAACUACUGAAUAAUCUGAUUUUUAUAGAAGUUUUUGAAGGAGUUUUGCUGAUAGAAUUUUGACAAUUUAUUACAAGUAUUGGAGUCCUGAUGACUUUUAAAACAAAUACUUAUUUUUAAACAUUUAAGUAUUUUAAAACAAACACUUAUUUUUAAGAUCGUUGGUUGGACUUUCGGAAAAUGAAUCUUUGAUAAGUUGUCAAGUAAAAAUAAACCAUUUGGUAGAGGACA
RNAcentral lists this long non-coding RNA (3022 nucleotides) under Anas platyrhynchos (mallard). RNAcentral describes it as "lncRNA (ENSAPLG00020013758.1)". Lineage: Eukaryota; Metazoa; Chordata; Aves; Anseriformes; Anatidae. The record is from RNAcentral.